GGAAUUUUGGGGCAUAUUUGGGGGCUUGGGGGAAUAUUCUGGGGACAUUUGGGGGGUUUUGUGGGAGGGAUUUUCAUUUCUGUUGCGGUUUUUUUUUUUUGGCUGAGAUUUUUGCUUUCCUGGGGGGGCAGAUUUUGAGGGAAAACGGUCGCGUUUUGGGGGUGAAGAUUUGGUGUUCCUUCUUGGGGAGAUUUUGGGUAUUUGGGGGGCGAUGGUUUUGGGGAUAAUUCUUUUCGAGGCCGUUUUAUUGUUUCCCGUCCGUGCCGGGCGUGGGGGUGGCGCUCGGGGCGCAGAUUUGGGGCCAAAUUCCCCAAUUUCGGGUUCUAUUCCACAAUGGGGCCGCGUCGCCUUUAAGGGAAUCCCGCGUAUCUGCUCAGGACGCUUCCGCCCGGACCUACGUCACUUCCGCUCGGGGCGCUUCCGCCCGGAGGAACGCCACUUCCGCUCGCCCGCUGCGCGGAACCGGAAGUGCCCCCAUUCGACUUCCGGCGCGACGCGGAGAGCGCGCUAAUUAGGGGCGCCAUGGCCAAGCGCAAAGUGACCUUUGAGGACCCCGAGGAGGACGAGGAGGCGGCGCCGCAGUGGGGCAGCGAGGAGGCGGCCAGGGGGCAGUGCCCCAUAACUCCCUUCAACCUGGAGGAGGAGAUGGAGAGCGGCAGCUUCGACCGCGCCGGGAACUACCGGCCCCGCGGGCCCCCCCAGCGCCCGGACCCAUGGCUCGAGGCGCUGCCCUGGGUAUGGGGCGCUAUGGGGCGCUAUGGGGCGCUGGGGAGCGCUAUGGGGCGCCGGGGAGUGGCUGGAGGGGCACUAUGGGGUGGUGGGGGGUCCCUAUGGGGUGCUAUGGGGUG
This 848-nucleotide long non-coding RNA is filed under the name Numida meleagris (helmeted guineafowl). RNAcentral's name for it is "lncRNA (ENSNMEG00000004835.1)". The record is from RNAcentral. Lineage: Eukaryota; Metazoa; Chordata; Aves; Galliformes; Numididae.